UGAACCUGCGGAAGGAUCAUUACCGAGUUGAUUCGAGCUCCGGCUCGACUCUCCCACCCAAUGUGUACCUACCUCUGUUGCUUUGGCGGGCCGCGGUCCUCCGCACCGGCGCCCUUCGGGGGGCUGGCCAGCGCCCGCCAGAGGACCAUAAAACUCCAGUCAGUGAACUUUGCAGUCUGAGAAACAAGUUAAUAAACUAAAACUUUCAACAACGGAUCUCUUGGUUCUGGCAUCGAUGAAGAACGCAGCGAAAUGCGAUAAGUAAUGUGAAUUGCAGAAUUCAGUGAAUCAUCGAAUCUUUGAACGCACAUUGCGCCCCUUGGUAUUCCGAGGGGCAUGCCUGUUCGAGCGUCAUUUCAACCCUCAAGCUCUGCUUGGUAUUGGGCUCCGUCCUCCACGGACGCGCCUUAAAGACCUCGGCGGUGGCGUCUUGCCUCAAGCGUAGUAGAAAACACCUCGCUUUGGAGCGCACGGCGUCGCCCGCCGGACGAACCUUUGAAUUAUUUCUCAAGGUUGACCUCGGAUCAGGUAGGGAUACCCG
This 541-nucleotide ribosomal RNA is filed under the name Neofusicoccum kwambonambiense. Its description in RNAcentral is "eukaryotic LSU rRNA". The stretch from base 201 to 354 matches the Rfam family "5.8S ribosomal RNA". The record is from RNAcentral. Lineage: Eukaryota; Fungi; Ascomycota; Dothideomycetes; Botryosphaeriales; Botryosphaeriaceae.